GACGUAGGGCGCGAGCGUUGUCCGGAUUUAUUGGGCGUAAAGAGCUCGUAGGCGGCUUGUCGCGUCGACUGUGAAAACCCGCGGCUCAACUGCGGGCCUGCAGCCGAUACGGGCAGGCUAGAGUUCGGUAGGGGAGACUGGAAUUCCUGGUGUAGCGGUGAAAUGCGCAGAUAUCAGGAGGAACACCGGUGGCGAAGGCGGCAUCCUGGACCGACACUGACGCUGAGGCGCGAAAGCUAGGGUAGCAAACGGG
Molecule: ribosomal RNA, 253 nt
Filed under: uncultured bacterium
Lineage: Bacteria
Description: partial 16S ribosomal RNA
Rfam family: Bacterial small subunit ribosomal RNA
Source: RNAcentral